This 460-nucleotide ribosomal RNA is filed under the name uncultured bacterium. RNAcentral describes it as "partial 16S ribosomal RNA". It matches the Rfam family "Bacterial small subunit ribosomal RNA", at positions 338 to 795 of the family's 1533-position model. The record is from RNAcentral.
CCUACGGGGGGCAGCAGUGAGGAAUAUUGGUCAAUGGACGAGAGUCUGAACCAGCCAAGUAGCGUGAAGGAUGACUGCCCUAUGGGUUGUAAACUUCUUUUAUAUGGGAAUAAAAUGUUUCACGUGUGGGAUUUUGUAUGUACCAUAUGAAUAAGGAUCGGCUAACUCCGUGCCAGCAGCCGCGGUAAUACGGAGGAUCCGAGCGUUAUCCGGAUUUAUUGGGUUUAAAGGGAGCGUAGGUGGAUUGUUAAGUCAGUUGUGAAAGUUUGCGGCUCAACCGUAAAAUUGCAGUUGAUACUGGCAGUCUUGAGUACGGUAGAGGUAGGCGGAAUGCGUAGUGUAGCGGUGAAAUGCUUAGAUAUUACGAAGAACUCCGAUUGCGAAGGCAGCUCGCUAAACUGCAUCUGACACUGAGGCUCGAAAGUGUGGGUAUCAAACAGGAUUAGAUACCCGUGUAGUC